AGUGGCAGACGGGUGAGUAAUGUAUAGGAAUCUACCUAGUAGUACGGAAUAAUUGUUGGAAACGGCAACUAAUACCGUAUACGCCCUACGGGGGAAAAAUUUAUUGCUAUUAGAUGAGCCUAUAUUAGAUUAGUUAGUUGGUGAGGUAAAGGCUUACCAAGACAAUGAUCUAUAGCUGAUCUGAGAGGAUGAUCAGCCACACUGGAACUGAGAUACGGUCCAGACUCCUACGGGAGGCAGCAGUGGGGAAUAUUGGACAAUGGGCGAAAGCCUGAUCCAGCCAUGCCGCAUGAGUGAAGAAGGCCUUCGGGUUGUAAAGCUCUUUUAGUGAGGAAGAUAAUGACGGUACUCACAGAAGAAGUCCUGGCUAACUCCGUGCCAGCAGCCGCGGUAAUACGGAGAGGGCUAGCGUUAUUCGGAAUCAUUGGGCGUAAAGGGCGCGUAGGCGGGUUAGUAAGUUAAAAGUGAAAUCCCAAGGCUCAACCUUGGAACUGCUUUUAAAACUGCUAGUCUAGAGAUUGAAAGAGGAUAGAGGAAUUCCUAGUGUAGAGAUGAAAUUCGUAAAUAUUAGGAGGAACACCAGUGGCGAANGCGUCUAUCUGGUUCAAAUCUGACGCUGAGGCGCGAAGGCGUGGGGAGCAAACAGGAUUAGAUACCCUGGUAGUCCACGCUGUAAACGAUGAAUGUUAAAUAUGGGAAGUUUACUUUCUGUAUUAUAGCUAACGCGUUAAACAUUCCGCCUGGAGACUACGGUCGCAAGAUUAAAACUCNNANGAAUUGACGGGG
This 786-nucleotide ribosomal RNA is filed under the name uncultured Wolbachia sp. Its description in RNAcentral is "bacterial SSU rRNA". It matches the Rfam family "Bacterial small subunit ribosomal RNA", at positions 94 to 918 of the family's 1533-position model. Lineage: Bacteria; Pseudomonadati; Pseudomonadota; Alphaproteobacteria; Rickettsiales; Anaplasmataceae. The record is from RNAcentral.